Molecule: long non-coding RNA, 435 nt
Organism: Myxocyprinus asiaticus (Chinese sucker)
Lineage: Eukaryota; Metazoa; Chordata; Actinopteri; Cypriniformes; Catostomidae
Exons: 3
Source: RefSeq, a predicted model, not a curated record
UUCACAUGUGAGAGGUGAGGCAUAAAUCAAUCUUUGAAAAUCAAACUGCACUGUUUCUCUGUACAUCACUCAUCUGUUCACUCUCUUGGAGCUCUCUUCAGAGGUCAUAUAGUGUGCUGGAGCCAUGUCUGAGGGACCGGUAAGCAAAGUUCCGCCGUUUCUCUUCAGCCAAAUUGGCCCGGUUGCUAGGGAAGGUAGAGUCACAUGGGGUAAGCUCCUCGUGGUCGCGAAUAGUGGUUCUCGCUCUCAAUGGGGCGCGUGGUAAGUUGUGCGUGGAUCGCAGAGAGUGGCAUGAGCCUCCACAUGCUAUGAGCCUCCACAUGCUAUGAGCCUCCACAUGCUGUGAGUCUCCGUGGUGUCAUGCACAGCACGCUACGUGAUAAGAUGUGCGGAUUGACUGUCUCAGAAGCGGAGACAACUGAGACUUGUCCUCCG